UAGUGAAUAGUUUGACAGUAUUGAGGGAAUUAUUUAUUUAGCAGACUGAUGGUGUUUGGGGGGGGGGACUUUUUAUACAUUAUACAACAGGUGGCUGUUAAAUCCAAUAUACAGUGUAACGUUAUCCAAAAUUUAUCUUGCAUGAAAGAUAUUAGAAGCCAUGAUUCAGACAUACCCAAACACAAGACCUCUUAUAGCAUCAAAGCAGCCUGAUAUUUUAAAGCAGGGGUGUCCAACUUUGGCUACUUUAAUACUUGUGGACUUCAACUCCCAGAAUUCCUCAGCCAGCCAUGCUUUAACUUUAAGCUCACAAGUCUUACCAGCACGAGUUACUAAGGUUAGACACUCGUUUUAAAGCUUGGAGCCUUAAAAGGUUGCUGCUACCUUAAGGACUCCGUUUAUUAAGACAAGCUUUAAAAGCACCAGGUCUAUUUUUUCCAGCUUGCACAGAAGCUUGAAAAAGAAUGGGCUCCUUUAAUAAACAGCAGGGAAGUGCUUGUGCAUGGUUCAAAGCAUAACUCUAAAUCGUUUUCAAAGUAUUCUACAGAGCAAAGCUACAGAGUGAAAGUCCUGUUGCGUAACAUUAAUGUGUUGCUGGCAUGAGAGAACUUAGUUUUGUUAAUAGUUUACCAAAGGCAUCUCCAGCUGAAAAAAGUAUGCUAUCAGCUAAAGGGAAAGACUUCUGCUUAAUACCCAGAAGAAACACAGUCCCCCUUGGAACAGAAUGACUUCUAAUGUAAGGGGGAAGUGUGUGCUUGUAUGCAAUGUCCCUGUGUAACCAAUGAAUCCUAAAGCUGUUUAAGGACUCAUAAUUUCAGAGGGUGCAUUCAUUCCAUCUUGUAUACCAUGCUGAACUUUAUACCCUUUGGAGAUGGAGUUAGUGAACACCUUUGGCUUUUUGUGCUGCUAAAUUCCAAAUAUUCCCAGUCAAGUCGGUUAAAAACGGGAGUUUAGACAUAUUACAAAUUACAACACGCGGAGGGCUCCGAGCUACCGAUUUCACCCUUCGGCCAACAGCUACCCCUAGCGGCGGCUGCGGGAAGCAAAACAUAUUAUCUCGCGCAUUUAAAAUCUCGCUGCCGAUUUCGCCGCGGUCAACAGGUUUAACCAGCGAGGUAACUCCGAGACGAGGUCACCAACCAAACAUUAAACUCCCGGGUUCCCGGAUAACGACGCGUCUAUCCUUCCCCGACCACGUGGACGGCGUCCCAGAACCCGAAGGCCCAAAAGAAAAAGGCGUCCGUUUCCCAAGCGAAGAAAGACCGAGCCAGAAUCCAAAGCAACACAAGGACUCCUUCCCUAUGAAGAAGCAUCCCAAAGAUUUUGUUAGACAAAUUGGACUUAUAAUAUGGCAAGGGGAAAAAAAUAUCCACAUGCCUUGUGUUAUUUCCAAAUGUUCUAUUUCCAGCAUGUUUCAGAAAACAAUUUUAAGAAAUUUAAUAUACGGUAGUUUUUCUUAAUUUAUUAAGGAACACACAUGGUGGACAGUGCUUUAAUCCCCAUUGUUUUUUUUCUUUUAUUAAGAAUGUGACUAGCCCAGACACGUUACCUCCUAAAUAAGACCUGAAGGAGGACAUGUAUUGAUUUUGGUAUCUUCCAAAUAUAUUGGAUCUGUGAGCUUCAGCAAGGCUGGUUCUGAGAAUUCCGGAGGUUGAAGAUCAACAGAUCCGGUAUAUCCAAAGGGCAAUAAAUCCAAGAAGGCUGCUGUAGCCAUAAACCACAACCCACUCAAUUGCAUUAUUUCUGCUCUUGUGGAGGAGAAAUUUUACUUGAAAUCAGGCGUGUCCAACAAUUUGGCUUGCCUAGGCUGCAUUGAAUGAAGAGGAAUUGUCUUGGGCUGUAUAUAAAAUAUAUAAUACAGUGAAUGUGUGUUAUGUGUAAAGUUUAUGAUCUUGUGGAGCAGCAUUAUUAGCUGCCCAGGGCCACCUACAGGCCACGGGUUGGACCCAUUUUCUUUAAAUUCAGAGAACUCUCUCCUGGUUGGUUUAAUAAUACCACACCAACCAUAAUGGCUUGGUAGGGAAUC
Long non-coding RNA from Thamnophis elegans (Western terrestrial garter snake), 2026 nucleotides. RefSeq lists it as uncharacterized. The record is from RefSeq and is a predicted model, not a curated record. Lineage: Eukaryota; Metazoa; Chordata; Lepidosauria; Squamata; Natricidae. The transcript has 2 exons.